UUACGGCCACAUCAGGUCAUAACACCGUUUCCUGUACGAUCACUGAAGUUAAGCAAUGUUGAGCCUUGUCAGUAACUAGAUGGGUGACUGCUUCGGUACAUCAGGUGCUGCAAG
This 114-nucleotide ribosomal RNA is filed under the name Acanthosepion pharaonis. Lineage: Eukaryota; Metazoa; Mollusca; Cephalopoda; Sepiida; Sepiidae. The record is from RNAcentral.